Molecule: long non-coding RNA, 638 nt
Filed under: Phasianus colchicus (ring-necked pheasant)
Lineage: Eukaryota; Metazoa; Chordata; Aves; Galliformes; Phasianidae
Description: lncRNA (ENSPCLG00000015198.1)
Source: RNAcentral
CUCUAUGGGGCAGCUAUGGGUCGCUAUGGGGUUGCUAUGGGGCGGCUAUGGGUCGCAAUGGGGCGGCUAUGGGGUCGCUGUGGGUCGCUAUGGGGCGCUAAGGGGCAGCUAUGGGGUCACUAUGGCGUCUCUAUGGGGCGGCUGUGGGGUCGCUAUGGGGUGCAGUGGGGUUGCUAUGGGGCGGCUAUGGGGAGCUAUGGGGUCUCUGUGGGUGGCUGUGGGGCGCUAUGGGGUGGCUAUGGGGUCUCUGUGGGUCUCUAUGGGGUGGCUGUGGGGCAGCUAUGGGUCGCUGUGGGGUGCAAUGGGGUUGGCUAUAGGGCAGCUAUGGGGCGGCUGUGGGGUGGCUAUGGGUCGCAAUGGGGGGCUAUGGUGUAUCUAUGGGGUGGCUAUGGGGUCGCUGUGGGUCACUGUGGGGUGGCUCUGGGUCGCUAUGGGGCGGCAAUGGGUGUCUGUGGGGUGGCUAUGGGGUGCAAUGUGGUCGCUAUGGGUGGCUAUGGGGCUGCUGUGGGGUCUUUAUGGGUGGCUAUGGGGUGGCUAUGGGUCUCUAUGGGGUGCUGUGGGGUGGCUAUGGGUCUCUAUGGAGCGGUUAUGGGGUCGCUGUGGGGCGCUAUGGGGCAGCUAUGGGGCGCAAAUGGGGU